GAGGGUUGAUUCAGGGAAAUUGUAUUUGUUUGCUGAACUGUAAAUUAAACAGGUUCCAGGCUUCCACUCCUUCACAUCUGCAUCUCUGUAGCUGCGUAUGGAAUUUGUUCUCACUGGAUGCCAGUAAAGAACAUCCAAGGAGAACUCAAACACAGAAAAACAACUUCCUGCUUCCUCCAGAAGUCCAGCUCUUGGAGCAAUGGGAUAAGCAGGCCAGGGCCUUGGCUCUCCUGUUGCUGCUGCCCUUCUACCUGCCGACCGGCACUGGUGCUUCCCCCUGUGGCCCUGCAUGAUGUGCGGUGCACCUGGUUUCCAGGACCUACCCUUCCCCAGAUGAUGGUAUCUUGAUUUUAGUGAGGAGUUAUAGGAAGGGAGGGGAGGACCCUGCCUACCUGCCUGGAGCUCUCCAAGCCAGACGCCAACUUCCACGCCUCGCAGAAAGAAGGCUCCAGGCUCUACACAAGCACAGCGCUCCAGCACCACGAGUUUUGCAGGCCCCAACCCACAGUUGCUGAAGCCGCUGCUAGGGCAAUGAAGACGGAGACGCUUCUUAAAAAAAACUUUACAAAAUUAUUUUAAUUACUGUGUGGACCUUGUAACUCGAUCAAGGCACAGUCAUCUGUACUCUCCUGCAGCAAAUAUUCUUGAAAUCCCACCAGUGUA
Molecule: long non-coding RNA, 663 nt
Organism: Panthera uncia (snow leopard)
Lineage: Eukaryota; Metazoa; Chordata; Mammalia; Carnivora; Felidae
Exons: 3
Source: RefSeq, a predicted model, not a curated record